RNAcentral lists this ribosomal RNA (477 nucleotides) under uncultured bacterium. Its description in RNAcentral is "partial 16S ribosomal RNA". It matches the Rfam family "Bacterial small subunit ribosomal RNA", at positions 28 to 506 of the family's 1533-position model. The record is from RNAcentral.
GAUGAACGCUAGCGGCAGGCCUAACACAUGCCAGUCGAGGGAGAAGCCCUUUCGGGGGCAGAAACCGGCGCACGGGUGCGUAACGCGUAUGCAACCUACCUUUCACAGGGGGAUAGCCCGAAGAAAUUUGGAUUAAUACCCCAUAAUAUUAUUGGAUGGCAUCAUUUGAUAAUUAAAACUGCGGUGGUGAAAGAUGGGCAUGCGUCCUAUUAGCUAGUUGGAGUGGUAACGGCACCCCAAGGCUACGAUAGGUAGGGGUCCUGAGAGGGAGAUCCCCCACACUGGUACUGAGACAGGGACCAGACUCCUACGGGAGGCAGCAGUGAGGAAUAUUGGUCAAUGGUCGGAAGACUGAACCAGCCAUGCCGCGUGCAGGAAGAAUGCCUUAUGGGUUGUAAACUGCUUUUAUAUGGGAAGAAUAAGGUGUACGUGUACAUUGAUGACGGUACCAUAUGAAUAAGCAUCGGCUAACUCCGU